CUUCUUCCAAUUUCAUCCUUCCGUAAACCCAUUUCUUCAAACCCAAAAUCCGAUCUUGAAACCCUAAAAGCCCAUUAAUCACUACGAGAAUUUUUUUACGUUUCGAUGCCAGCCUUUGUUCUUUGUUUGCGACGUUUUAGUCAUCUGCAUCAUCAAGAACUCAAGGUAAAACCCUUUAUUUCUCUCUAAAUUUUGUUUUUUGAAGUUUAGGUUACUGGUUUAGAAAUAAUUCAGAAACAUAAUUGAAAUUGAAAAGGGAUUUAUAUGAUUUCUGUUGAUUGUUGGUUUGAUGGUUAUUCCUUGUUUAUUUUAAGGUUUGUCAAUUUUGUUAGAUAGGAUGUUUGUUGGGAUUGGUAGUGGUUGAGAAAACCUCGGAUAAGUUGUGAUAUUGUUAGAUAGGAUAGGAUGCAAGUAGGACUUGUUUAAUUUUUCCAUUGAAAAGAUAAUUAUUUUUUUGCAAGAAAAAAUAUGCAAGGAUUAGGAAAUUAGGACAUGUCUCCGGCUGUUGUUGAUGAUGUUUGGUACUUAGAGCCGCAAAAUCUGAAGCCACGAUAGACACCCCUUUAAGGACUAGUUUACAAAUAUGGAUCCCACACCAGGGACUGGAUUGAGAACUGAUAAAGAAUAGAGUUGAGACAUACAACUUUGUAACAUGUCCCUGACAUUCUCUCAUUUUUGUUUAAUUUCAAUAUACUAUGAGGUAAAGUAGUAGAAGUAGAACUCACUCUAAUUUCACAAUAUGACUCUUUGAGUCGAUUUAACAUUAACAGUUCUAGUGAUGCCUUUGUGUAUAGAGAAGUCUCCUUGAUAUAUUAUUGGCUUAAUUUUAGCAACUUUAUCUUUACAAGUUUUAUGAUUGUCAUUUUAUUUAGCUGUGAAAGGUCAUUCAAAGUUUGUACGACCUGGAGAUCUUGACUUUUGCAAUGUGCAUUUUACAGUUCAGAAUAUUCAAAAGAGGAUGAAGAUGACAUUGAUGAUAUGCUGCAAAAGGUGCAUUUUUUCUCCUUUGAUUAUUAAAGAUACAAUAGUUGAUUUAAUUUGGUGCACACUGAUUUAAUAUGAUAUUUGUUGUUACUAUAAUCCUAUUUAGACACAUGUUACAAUGUUAUGUUGCUUUAUGGUCUUAGUUUUGUGCAUAACCAC
Molecule: long non-coding RNA, 1143 nt
Filed under: Trifolium pratense (red clover)
Lineage: Eukaryota; Viridiplantae; Streptophyta; Magnoliopsida; Fabales; Fabaceae
Description: long non-coding RNA (TPRA_LNC002279)
Source: RNAcentral